RNAcentral lists this long non-coding RNA (1169 nucleotides) under Sparus aurata (gilthead seabream). Its description in RNAcentral is "lncRNA (ENSSAUG00010005201.1)". The record is from RNAcentral. Lineage: Eukaryota; Metazoa; Chordata; Actinopteri; Spariformes; Sparidae.
AAGUUAGAUACAGGUAAUGGAUAUAAAGAUUACAUUAUUUUCAUUGAUGCAUUCUUUUGAAAAUAUAUUCAGGAAAGUCAGAAUUCCAGUUCAGAUGAAGAGCAGGUGGAGGAAGCAGCAGCUGGACCGUCAGGGCUUCAGUUCAUUAAGGUGAGAUUAAUUUCUCUCUCUGAUGAGGUUAGAGGGGACAGCUGGGUGCGACGGCCCAGUGAUUUCCCCUUUUUGUGUAUUUCAGCUGGAUCUCCAACCUCUCUUUUGGUAAGUAGUUUUCAGUCUUUGAUAUCUAAAUUAAAUUUGGUUUAUCACUCAAGAAUCACUGAUACUGACACAAUUUUAUUUUUUCCAGCCUCACCAACGUCAUGCUGCACAGCGGCCUACAUCUUAACUUCAUCUGAUAGUCUGCACAGUAACAAACAAAUUAACACGGAAGCUACUGUGUUUGAUCAGAUCCACUUCAAAACCGAUGGAGUUCAUCCUGACACUAUGUUGGCAUCCCAGAAGUCCAAUUUUAAUAUAAAGUGUCAGAGCUUUGAUGUGCAGGUGAGUUUAAUAGAUGUAUGCUGCUAUUAAAUACACUUUUAUUUGACUCGAGACUUAAACUGUACUUUAAUUAACACAUCGAUGUACAACAACGGUGAGAUAAGAGCAAAGAACAUUCCUUAUUCACAAAGAUAGAAUCCCAAAUAUCAUGCUGCAGUGGACCAGACAGCGUGACGUCACACAUCAUGAUUGUGUUACAAUGGCUCACAACUCACUUCUUCCUUUCACUCAUUACAGGUGACUGGUUGUACUACAUGAGGUACACUGGCACAACUCGCUCAAUGGGGGUGAAGGUCCUCCGUGGGGCAAAAGAGGUCUUUGAGGAGGCUCACUUCAGCAGUGGACACCGCAGCCAGAGAACCACCAGAGAGACAAUCUCUCAGGUUUUACUGGCCUGGAAUGUCAAAUGCCACCUUCACCUCCUCCUCUGGGCCAUCCACAGGCUGUUGGCACUCGCCUGCCUCGUUAAACACCACAGUGGACUCUCCGAUCAUCAAGAAUUGGCUGCUGUGCCGACGAUGGUACCACAGGAUCCGUGCCAGAGACCGACAAAGGAGAAACAUUUUUCUGCCUUGCAUGCCAGGAGUGACAUUUAUCAUUAAAAUGUUUUAAUAUUAUUUUGUUCUGAG